Molecule: ribosomal RNA, 258 nt
Filed under: uncultured Pseudomonas sp.
Lineage: Bacteria; Pseudomonadati; Pseudomonadota; Gammaproteobacteria; Pseudomonadales; Pseudomonadaceae
Description: partial 16S ribosomal RNA
Rfam family: Bacterial small subunit ribosomal RNA
Source: RNAcentral
CGGCGGACGGGUGGAGUAAUGCCUAGGAAGUCUGCCUGGUAGUGGGGGACGAACGUUUCGAAAGGAACGCUAAUACCGCAUACGUCCUACGGAGAAAGCAGGGACCUUCGGGCCUUGCGCUAUCAGAUGAGCCUAGGUCGGAUUAGCUAGUUGGUGAGGUAAUGGCUCACCAAGGCGACGAUCCGUAACUGGUCUGAGAGGAUGAUCAGUCACACUGGAACUGAGACACGGCCCAGACUCCUACGGGAGGCAGCAGCC